This 75-nucleotide transfer RNA is filed under the name Anabaena cylindrica PCC 7122. It matches the Rfam family "tRNA". Rfam says of the family: Transfer RNA (tRNA) molecules are approximately 80 nucleotides in length. Lineage: Bacteria; Bacillati; Cyanobacteriota; Cyanophyceae; Nostocales; Nostocaceae. The record is from Rfam by way of RNAcentral.
GCUCUCGUGGCGAAAUUGGUAAACGCUUCCGUUUGAGGGACGGAAUUUUUGCUCUUUCAAAUCCUGUCGGGAGUA